This 490-nucleotide ribosomal RNA is filed under the name uncultured bacterium. RNAcentral's name for it is "partial 16S ribosomal RNA". It matches the Rfam family "Bacterial small subunit ribosomal RNA", at positions 30 to 507 of the family's 1533-position model. The record is from RNAcentral.
AUUGAACGCUGGCGGCAUGCCUUACACAUGCAAGUCGAACGGCAGCAUGAUCUAGCUUGCUAGAUUGAUGGCGAGUGGCGAACGGGUGAGUAAUACAUCGGAACGUGCCCUGUAGUGGGGGAUAACUAGUCGAAAGAUUAGCUAAUACCGCAUACGACCUGAGGGUGAAAGUGGGGGACCGCAAGGCCUCAUGCUAUAGGUGCGGCCGAUGUCUGAUUAGCUAGUUGGUGAGGUAAAGGCUCACCAAGGCGACGAUCAGUAGCUGGUCUGAGAGGACGAUCAGCAACACUGGGACUGAGACACGGCCCAGACUCCUACGGGAGGCAGCAGUGGGGAAUUUUGGACAAUGGGCGAAGGCCUGAUCCAGCAAUGCCGCGUGUGUGAAGAAGGCCUUCGGGUUGUAAAGCACUUUUGUCCGGAAAGAAAUGGCUCUGGUUAAUACCUGGGGUAGAUGACGGUACCGGAAGAAUAAGGACCGGCUAACUACGUG